GGACCUCAUCUCAACGAGGAAGAAAACCUUUGUCAAAAAUCCUCAGUCUCUAAGGGGGAACCCAACACUAGCAGGAAGAAAAUAGACCUCUUCAAAGUAACGAGAAGUUCGGACCCCAAGCUCAAACAUCGGGAGAAAGCGUUAAACUUUAAUGGCCUCAAAAAGACCUUCGAUCAUGAACAAAAAGGGCGAGUCAACACAGCGAUGAUAAAAAAUUUUCAAACAACAUCGACGUCGAAUAAGACAAAAGACA
Molecule: long non-coding RNA, 253 nt
Filed under: Elaeis guineensis (African oil palm)
Lineage: Eukaryota; Viridiplantae; Streptophyta; Magnoliopsida; Arecales; Arecaceae
Description: long non-coding RNA (EGUI_LNC081760)
Source: RNAcentral